CACUGUGGUCAGCAUUUAUCAUACUAUCUCUCUCUCUUUUUUAAUCUUCAAAACAACUCUUCAAGGUAGCUACUAUAAAUAGCCCUGUGUCACAGCAAAGGAAACUGAGGCCUGAAGAGGUUAAGCAAUUUGCCCAAGUUACACCCAGGGGCCGCUGACGGUCGGAGCCUAUGCAAGGACUAAAGCGUGAGGCUGCAUUUGGGAGGUGCAAACCCAGGAGAAAGUGAGGGCAUGUUCACCGAGUCUCUUGAUGCCAGGUCCUCUGAGAAAUCUGACAAGGCUCCUUGGGAUUGGCUGUCAGAGCAAUGUGGAGUGCUUUCAGAUCCUUGACUUGGAACUGGGUGACAUAGGCUUAUAUCCAAGGCCUGGCAUCCAGUAUUUCUGUAACUUUGGACGCCAUUCUACCUCUCAAAGCCUCCAUUUCCAAAUCGGUGAGAUGGAAAUAGUGAAGCCAGCUUCACUACCUUCACCCAUGCGAAGACGAACUGAGAUCUGGAGAAGCCCUGCAAACGGAAAAGAAUAAAAUAUUUAUCCAGUGCCUACAAUCUGCAGAUCCUGUGGUUUAUAUACAUCAUGCACAACGCUGCACCAAUUAAAGUUGCUUUUAUUUAUUUCAUAAACUUCAGGUUUAAGAACUCAAAAAGCCAAUUUUCGAAUUAGGAAA
Microcebus murinus (gray mouse lemur) is the source of this 664-nucleotide non-coding RNA. The record is from RefSeq and is a predicted model, not a curated record. Lineage: Eukaryota; Metazoa; Chordata; Mammalia; Primates; Cheirogaleidae.